This 439-nucleotide ribosomal RNA is filed under the name uncultured bacterium. RNAcentral describes it as "partial 16S ribosomal RNA". It matches the Rfam family "Bacterial small subunit ribosomal RNA", at positions 339 to 795 of the family's 1533-position model. The record is from RNAcentral.
CUACGGGUGGCAGCAGUGAGGAAUAUUGCACAAUGGGGGGAACCCUGAUGCAGCAACGCUGCGUGGAGGAUGACGCAUUUCGGUGUGUAAACCCCUUUUAUAUGUCAAGAAAAUGACGGUAGCAUAUGAAUAAGCACCGGCUAACUCCGUGCCAGCAGCCGCGGUAAUACGGAGGGUGCAAGCGUUACUCGGAAUCACUGGGCGUAAAGGACGCGUAGGCGGGUUGGAAAGUCAGGUGUGAAAUCCUACAGCUUAACUGUAGAACUGCACUUGAAACUUCUAAUCUAGAGUAUGGGAGGGGGAGAUGGAAUUAGUGGUGUAGGGGUAAAAUCCGUAGAUAUCACUAGGAAUACCUAAAGCGAAGGCGAUCUCCUGGAACAUUACUGACGCUAAGGCGUGAAAGCGUGGGGAGCAAACAGGAUUAGAUACCCCAGUAGUC